Molecule: transfer RNA, 85 nt
Filed under: Felis catus (domestic cat)
Lineage: Eukaryota; Metazoa; Chordata; Mammalia; Carnivora; Felidae
Rfam family: tRNA
About the family: Transfer RNA (tRNA) molecules are approximately 80 nucleotides in length. Their secondary structure includes four short double-helical elements and three loops (D, anti-codon, and T loops). Further hydrogen bonds mediate the characteristic L-shaped molecular structure. tRNAs have two regions of fundamental functional importance: the anti-codon, which is responsible for specific mRNA codon recognition, and the 3' end, to which the tRNAs corresponding amino acid is attached (by aminoacyl-tRNA synthetases). tRNAs cope with the degeneracy of the genetic code in two manners: having more than one tRNA (with a specific anti-codon) for a particular amino acid; and 'wobble' base-pairing, i.e. permitting non-standard base-pairing at the 3rd anti-codon position.
Source: Rfam by way of RNAcentral
UCCUGGGUGGCUCAGUCGGUUGAGCAUCUGACUUCAGCUCAGGUCAUGGAUCUCACGGCUCAGGGGUUCGAGCCCCUCCUUGGGC